Gallus gallus (chicken) is the source of this 307-nucleotide long non-coding RNA. NCBI's taxonomy places the organism in Eukaryota, Metazoa, Chordata, Aves, Galliformes, Phasianidae. The record is from Ensembl.
AAAGAACUUAGAAGCAUUAUAGACGUGGACCAAAACCUGUUGAGCCACUCUGGUAUAGUCACGCAAUGCUCAUUUACAUUAUCUCAUCUGUGAUUAGGUUAUGAUACAUGAAUGUUUCCACAAACCUGGCUGUCCAGGUAAAAACACUGAACCAACAACAAGGUGCUGUUCUUAUCAGAAAGAGCCUUGUUUUGGAUAUGUCUGUGUGGAUAUGAAUUUUCCAGUCAUGGAUAUGACAUAAUUCAGUAGAAAAGCUGUCGAUAAAGGUCACUGCAAUGAUGUCUCAGUAUGACAAAGAGUUAUGUGC